This is a non-coding RNA of Salmo salar (Atlantic salmon), 672 nucleotides long. The record is from RefSeq and is a predicted model, not a curated record. NCBI's taxonomy places the organism in Eukaryota, Metazoa, Chordata, Actinopteri, Salmoniformes, Salmonidae.
AUAAGAGCGUCUGCUAAAUGACUUAAAUGUAAAAAAUGUAAAUGUAAUAUACACAUUAUGACAUAAUAAAGAGCUUAAUCUUUCACGAAAUAAAGACAUAGAAGCAUACCCAAUUAUACAGGUUCUACACAUUCCAUUUCUCCAUGGCAAUAGAAUGUAAACAUUCUAUUUUGCACCAAACAUCGCCUACAACUCAAUUCUAAGUGCAGCAUAUUGGACGACAACACAGUCAUUGAUCAUUUGCAACUUUAAGUCAUUCCUGUUAUCUCUAGAGCAUCCCGUAUAUCUAUAGCGCGGCAUUUCUUCCCCAUCUUUCCAUGGAUAGGGUUUGGUGCAUUCCGGAGUUCACUUAUGGUCCCACAAAGGAAUUCUGUAGAAGCAGCCUUUAUUUUCAGACUCUGCAGGCCUGCUGGGAGGAAACAUAUUACAAUAAACAGAAGAAGGUCAUGGUCCAUUAUCUGCUGCUCCAGAGUCAAGGCCAGGUCCCGCCCCAUGUCACCACGGAGCACAUGAGCAACUGGCUGGUGUCUCAGGGCAAAAAAUCCUUUAGGGAGAGGUGAGCACCACGUCAGCACUCACCUUCACUGCCAUUCCCUGCCACCAGCAGCACUCCAGGUUUGGGUAAAAUAAACUACAGAAAAAUCAGAAGCCAGGAAAGUUGAAUUGCUCUGU